RNAcentral lists this transfer RNA (73 nucleotides) under Stegodyphus mimosarum. RNAcentral's name for it is "tRNA-Met for anticodon CAU". It matches the Rfam family "tRNA". Rfam says of the family: Transfer RNA (tRNA) molecules are approximately 80 nucleotides in length. The record is from Rfam by way of RNAcentral. Lineage: Eukaryota; Metazoa; Arthropoda; Arachnida; Araneae; Eresidae.
GCCUUCGUAGUGUAAUGGUCAGCACACUCGAUGCAUAUUCAAGAGGUCCGAGGUUCGAGUCCUCGCGAGGGCA